This 437-nucleotide long non-coding RNA is filed under the name Oreochromis niloticus (Nile tilapia). RNAcentral describes it as "lncRNA (ENSONIG00000027200.1)". The record is from RNAcentral. Lineage: Eukaryota; Metazoa; Chordata; Actinopteri; Cichliformes; Cichlidae.
GAGUGUGGGAGGGAGACAGACAGAAGUGGAUGGCUCAGGACCUGGAUUCACAGCUUCAAACGUAGGAGCGGGAUUUUGAGUUUGGGACAAUUCUUCCCCAGGCCUGGAGAGAGUGAGGUGGAAUAUAGCAGACUUUCUGUGGAAGUUUUUACUCAGUGGGGAGAAAGAAAAAGGAGCAUUAAAGGGUGAGCUGUAGUUCACGGGGUCCAGAUGGCAGGCAUGAGGGGCCCGGCCUGCAUUGGAGUCUGGCUCUAGAGUCCACAGGGGCUCACACUUCAACUGGACACAUUCCACAGGUACACAUAAACGCUCACCAAAGUAACACGUAAAAAACAAGACAUACUCGAGCAGGACCGAAGAAGUUCUCAGUGAAUCAGAGCAAAAAAGUCAAACUAAGAACAUAACUAAUGCCCUCUUAAUGACAACAUCAGUGAUUA